AACACAUUUUUUUAUUCUUAUUGUUCAUAAUCCGUCAAAAAUUAUUUAUAAUAUUUUAAAUUUAUAGAUCAUGAACUAUCAUCACAAAAGGCAUUAGGAAAUAAAUCAACAAGUGAAAACAACCACUUAAAAGUUCAAAUUAACUUCCAAAAGUGCAACGAAAGCAAUUGAUGAAGAAAAUAGUAAACAUUCUUCCACUUCAGAUGACGAAAGUUGUAACCUUGCAACAACGAAAAAGAAAAAGAAAAUUAAUAAUAAAAACAUCAUAAGAAAGUCUCGAAUAUCUUCAUCUAGUGGAUCUGAUUAAAUAAUUCAAUAACACUGACUCUUCAAGAAAAAUUACAUAAAAAUUUAAAUUCAUUGACAUCCGUCGACGAGUAAAUAUAAAACUAAACAAUAGGAAGGUGCUCAAGUUGAACAACUAAACCGUUUGAUGGAUGCCCGAUUUAAGAGUAUUUAAUUUAACUCAAAUCUAAUACAAUAAGCAGCCAGAAUAAUAAUUAAAUA
Molecule: long non-coding RNA, 507 nt
Organism: Agrilus planipennis (emerald ash borer)
Lineage: Eukaryota; Metazoa; Arthropoda; Insecta; Coleoptera; Buprestidae
Exons: 3
Source: RefSeq, a predicted model, not a curated record